UUGAACGCACAUUAUGCUUUAGGAUUUUCCUGAAAGCAUGCUUAUUGGAGUGUUAGCCAGCCUCNUAUCAACACUUUCAUGCGCAAGCGUGGAGGUUGUUGGAUNGUUCCGCGUAGCAUGAGUGCUCGUGGUAAAUUGUGUUAGCCUGUGGUUUGCAUCUGUAGCUACAUGACCUAUGUUCCAAGGGUAAAGCAAAAUGGACAUAAUAUGUGUUGUGCGGUUAAAGAAGCAGAUUGCGGGUAGGGUGUUGCGUUGCCGAAUCUAGAAGCUGAUCUCCAAUUAAGCCAGACUACCCACCGAAUUUAAGCAUAUAAUUAAGUGGAGGAAAAGAAACCAACUGGGAUUCCCUGAGUAAGGGCGACUGAAACGGGAUGUAGCUCAUGAUGAAAAUCGGUGUACUUGUUGCACUGAGUUGUGAUGUGGAGAAGUUUGUGUCCAAAAGCCAGGGGAAAUUCAUUGGAAUAUGUUAGCAUGGAUGGUGAGACCCCAAUAUUCUUGGCGAGCGAACAAACCUUCAAAGAGUCGAGUUGUAUGGGAUUGCAGCUCUAAACGGUGGUAAAUUCCAUCGAAAGCUAAAUAUGGGUAGGAGACCGAUAGCGCACAAGUACCGUGAGGGAAAGAUGCAAAGAACUUUGAAAAGAGAGUUAAAGAGUACCUGAAAUUGCUGAAACUGAAGCAAAGGAAAUCAACAAAAGUUGUGCCAUAUCUCUCAUCUUGCUUGCAGGGUGGGCACUGUGUUGCAGCGUCNUUAGUGGUAGUGAUGU
Molecule: ribosomal RNA, 764 nt
Filed under: uncultured diatom
Lineage: Eukaryota; Bacillariophyta
Description: eukaryotic LSU rRNA
Rfam family: Eukaryotic large subunit ribosomal RNA (bases 270-764)
Source: RNAcentral